GAUGAACGCUAGCUACAGGCUUAACACAUGCAAGUCGAGGGGAAACGACAUCGAAAGCUUGCUUUUGAUGGGCGUCGACCGGCGCACGGGUGAGUAACGCGUAUCCAACCUGCCCACCACUUGGGGAUAACCUUGCGAAAGUAAGUCUAAUACCCAAUGACGUCUCUAGAAGACAUCGGAAAGAGAUUAAAGAUUUAUCGGAGAUGGAUGGGGAUGCGUCUGAUUAGCUUGUUGGCGGGGUAACGGACCACCAAGGCGACGAUCAGUAGGGGUUCUGAGAGGAAGGUCCCCCACAUUGGAACUGAGACACGGUCCAAACUCCUACGGGAGGCAGCAGUGAGGAAUAUUGGUCAAUGGGCGAGAGCCUGAACCAGCCAAGUAGCGUGCAGGAUGACGGCCCUAUGGGUUGUAAACUGCUUUUAUAAGGGAAUAAAGUGAGUCUCGUGAGACUUUUUGCAUGUACCUUAUGAAUAAGGACCGGCUAAUUCCGUGCCAGCCGCCGCCGUAA
This 508-nucleotide ribosomal RNA is filed under the name uncultured bacterium. RNAcentral describes it as "partial 16S ribosomal RNA". It matches the Rfam family "Bacterial small subunit ribosomal RNA", at positions 28 to 523 of the family's 1533-position model. The record is from RNAcentral.